Molecule: ribosomal RNA, 498 nt
Filed under: uncultured Actinomycetes bacterium
Lineage: Bacteria; Bacillati; Actinomycetota; Actinomycetes
Description: bacterial SSU rRNA
Rfam family: Bacterial small subunit ribosomal RNA
Source: RNAcentral
UGGGGAAUCUUGCACAAUGGGCGAAAGCCCGAUGCAGCAACGCCGCGUGCGGGAAGAAGGCCUUAGGGUUGUAAACCGCUUUCAGUAGGGAAGAAGAUGACGGUACCUACAGAAGAAGGUGCGGCCAACUACGUGCCAGCAGCCGCGGUGACACGUAGGCACCUAAAGCGUUGUCCGGAUUUAUUGGGCGUAAAGAGCUCGUAGGCGGUUCGAUAAGUCGGGUGUGAAAACUCUGGGCUCAACCCAGAGCUUGCCACUCGAUACUGUUGUGACUAGAGUGCGGUAGGGGAGCGGGGAAUUCCUGGUGUAGCGGUGAAAUGCGCAGAUAUCAGGAGGAACACCAGUGGCGAAGGCGCCGCUCUGGGCCGUGACUGACGCUGAGGAGCGAAAGCGUGGGUAGCAAACAGGAUUAGAUACCCUGGUAGUCCACGCCGUAAACGUUGGGCACUAGGUGUGGGUCUCGAACCAACGAGAUCCGCGCCGUCGCUAACGCAUUAA